GGAUGUGAGGGGGAGGAUGACAAAGAGCUCGAAGUGCUCAGAGCACGUCGGGAAUCCAGAUGAUAUGAAAUGGUGCCAUUUUGACUGACCUAGGGCAAGGACAACAUGCCCAGGGCCGGAUCUGUGACGUUUUCAGCAGGAAGGAUCUGGUCAGUCCUGUUGCGUGUCAUCUUCUGCUGCUCAGGCCCUCACCUCUUUUGCUGUCCAAGCCCGACAAAAUGAAGUGCAGAAGGUGACCUACAUUCACAGGC
This is a long non-coding RNA of Gymnogyps californianus (California condor), 251 nucleotides long. RefSeq lists it as uncharacterized. The record is from RefSeq and is a predicted model, not a curated record. Lineage: Eukaryota; Metazoa; Chordata; Aves; Accipitriformes; Cathartidae. The transcript is spliced from 3 exons.